This 81-nucleotide small nucleolar RNA is filed under the name Carlito syrichta (Philippine tarsier). RNAcentral describes it as "Small nucleolar RNA SNORD115 (ENSTSYG00000022101.2)". It matches the Rfam family "Small nucleolar RNA SNORD115". Rfam says of the family: HBII-52 is a member of the C/D class of snoRNAs, which contain the C (UGAUGA) and D (CUGA) box motifs. HBII-52 is encoded in a tandemly repeated array with another C/D snoRNA, HBII-85, in the Prader-Willi syndrome (PWS) region of chromosome 15. HBII-52 is exclusively expressed in the brain but is absent in PWS patients. The record is from Rfam by way of RNAcentral. Lineage: Eukaryota; Metazoa; Chordata; Mammalia; Primates; Tarsiidae.
UAAUCAAUGAUAAGACCUUAUAUUGUCUCUAUGAGAAAAAAAUGACUUAAAAUUAUUCUCAAUAGGAUUAUGCUGAGUCUC